Molecule: transfer RNA, 73 nt
Filed under: Armatimonadota bacterium
Lineage: Bacteria; Bacillati; Armatimonadota
Rfam family: tRNA
About the family: Transfer RNA (tRNA) molecules are approximately 80 nucleotides in length. Their secondary structure includes four short double-helical elements and three loops (D, anti-codon, and T loops).
Source: Rfam by way of RNAcentral
GUCCGCGCAGCUCACCGGACAGAGCGCUGGCCUUCGAAGCCAGAGACAGCAGGUUCGAUUCCUGCCGCGGACA